AUUGAACGCUGGCGGCAUGCUUUACACAUGCAAGUCGAACGGCAGCGCGGGCUUCGGCCUGGCGGCGAGUGGCGAACGGGUGAGUAAUACAUCGGAACGUGCCCAGUAGUGGGGGAUAGCUCGGCGAAAGCCGGAUUAAUACCGCAUACGACCUGAGGGUGAAAGCGGGGGAUCUUCGGACCUCGCGCUAUUGGAGCGGCCGAUGGCAGAUUAGCUAGUUGGUGGUGUAAAGGCCUACCAAGGCGACGAUCUGUAGCUGGUCUGAGAGGACGACCAGCCACACUGGGACUGAGACACGGCCCAGACUCCUACGGGAGGCAGCAGUGGGGAAUUUUGGACAGUGGGCGAAAGCCUGAUCCAGCAAUGCCGCGUGUGUGAUGAAGGCCUUCGGGUUGUAAAGCACUUUUGGCGGGAACGAAAAGGACUGUGCCAAUACCACGGUUCGAUGACGGUACCCGCAGAAUAAGCACCGGCUAACUACGU
This 483-nucleotide ribosomal RNA is filed under the name uncultured bacterium. RNAcentral's name for it is "partial 16S ribosomal RNA". It matches the Rfam family "Bacterial small subunit ribosomal RNA", at positions 29 to 506 of the family's 1533-position model. The record is from RNAcentral.